UUUUCCAAUAAACUUUUGGGUUUCUUCAUCAUGGAUCUUGUCAAAUGCCUUUGGUAGCUUCCCCUAAGUAACUUUCUUGUAUAUUUGAGCAGGGUUGGAGCACUCGCUGUAUGGAAACUCAGAAGUGAACAACUCUAUCAUACACAUGCCAAAAGAGUAUAUAUCUACCAACUCAUUAUAUUCCUCUUCAUACAAUUCUGGU
This 202-nucleotide long non-coding RNA is filed under the name Medicago truncatula (barrel medic). RNAcentral's name for it is "lncRNA gene21444". The record is from RNAcentral. Lineage: Eukaryota; Viridiplantae; Streptophyta; Magnoliopsida; Fabales; Fabaceae.